RNAcentral lists this ribosomal RNA (250 nucleotides) under uncultured bacterium. RNAcentral's name for it is "partial 16S ribosomal RNA". It matches the Rfam family "Bacterial small subunit ribosomal RNA", at positions 525 to 775 of the family's 1533-position model. The record is from RNAcentral.
ACGUAGGUCCCGAGCGUUAUCCGGAUUUAUUGGGCGUAAAGCGAGCGCAGGCGGUUUGAUAAGUCUGAAGUUAAAGGCUGUGGCUCAACCAUGGUUCGCUUUGGAAACUGUCAAACUUGAGUGCAGAAGGGGAGAGUGGAAUUCCAUGUGUAGCGGUGAAAUGCGUAGAUAUAUGGAGGAACACCGGUGGCGAAAGCGGCUCUCUGGUCUGUAACUGACGCUGAGGCUCGAAAGCGUGGGGAGCGAACAG